GACGAACGCUGGCGGCGUGCUUAACACAUGCAAGUCGAACGGAAAGGCCCUGCUUGCCGGGUACUCGAGUGGCGAACGGGUGAGUAACACGUGGGUGAUCUGCCCUGCACUUCGGGAUAAGCUUGGGAAACUGGGUCUAAUACCGGAUAGGAGCCAUCUUUAGUGUGGUGGUUGGAAAGUUUUUUCGGUGUAGGAUGAGCUCGCGGCCUAUCAGCUUGUUGGUGGGGUAAUGGCCUACCAAGGCGGCGACGGGUAGCCGGCCUGAGAGGGUGUACGGCCACAUUGGGACUGAGAGACGGCCCAGACUCCUACGGGAGGCAGCAGUGGGGAAUAUUGCACAAUGGGCGCAAGCCUGAUGCAGCGACGCCGCGUGGGGGAUGAAGGCCUUCGGGUUGUAAACUCCUUUCGCUAGGGACGAAGCUUUUUGUGACGGUACCUAGAUAAGAAGCACCGGCUAACUACGUG
This 465-nucleotide ribosomal RNA is filed under the name uncultured bacterium. RNAcentral's name for it is "partial 16S ribosomal RNA". It matches the Rfam family "Bacterial small subunit ribosomal RNA", at positions 28 to 507 of the family's 1533-position model. The record is from RNAcentral.